CCCUGAUCUCUUUAAUAACCUCCAAAAUGUUAUAGUCAAUGGUAAGUUUAUGUAAGCGUUCUUGUUUUGCCAGAUCAAUAUAAAGCUCAUUAAGCUCCUUUCCUUUCUUUUUUUUUAUAGUGGCACCCAAUUUUAUGAGACAUCCUCUCAUAUAUGAUUUAAACGUACACCAUAACAUGGCGUUAGAGACAUCCCCUGUAUCAUUGAUUUCGAAGAAUUC
Non-coding RNA from Pelobates cultripes (western spadefoot toad), 220 nucleotides. The record is from the annotation of a GenBank genome assembly. NCBI's taxonomy places the organism in Eukaryota, Metazoa, Chordata, Amphibia, Anura, Pelobatidae.